GACGUAGGGGGCAAGCGUUAUUCGGAAUUAUUGGGCGUAAAGAGCUCGUAGGCGGUUUGUCGCGUCUGCCGUGAAAGUCCGGGGCUCAACUCCGGAUCUGCGGUGGGUACGGGCAGACUAGAGUGAUGUAGGGGAGACUGGAAUUCCUGGGUGUAGCGGUGAAAUGCGCAGAUAUCAGGAGGAACACCGAUGGCGAAGGCAGGUCUCUGGGCAUUAACUGACGCUGGAGGAAGCGGAAAGCAUAGGGGAGGCGAACAUGGAUUGAGACUUACCUUGUCAGUCCAA
Molecule: ribosomal RNA, 285 nt
Filed under: uncultured bacterium
Lineage: Bacteria
Description: partial 16S ribosomal RNA
Rfam family: Bacterial small subunit ribosomal RNA
Source: RNAcentral